UACGUAGGGGGCAAGCGUUGUCCGGAAUCAUUGGGCGUAAAGAGCGUGUAGGCGGCUCGAUAAGUCUGCUGUGAAAGCCCCGGGCUCAACCUGGGAAUGGCGAUGGAAACUGGCGGGCUGGAGUAUGGCAGAGGGGGGUGGAAUUCCGCGUGUAGCAGUGAAAUGCGUAGAGAUGCGGAGGAACACCGAUGGCGAAGGCAGCCCCCUGGGCCAAUACUGACGCUCAGGCACGAAAGCGUGGGGAGCAAACAGG
This 253-nucleotide ribosomal RNA is filed under the name uncultured bacterium. RNAcentral's name for it is "partial 16S ribosomal RNA". It matches the Rfam family "Bacterial small subunit ribosomal RNA", at positions 524 to 776 of the family's 1533-position model. The record is from RNAcentral.